Molecule: long non-coding RNA, 315 nt
Organism: Ipomoea nil (Japanese morning glory)
Lineage: Eukaryota; Viridiplantae; Streptophyta; Magnoliopsida; Solanales; Convolvulaceae
Exons: 4
Source: RefSeq, a predicted model, not a curated record
AGCAAAGGUGGUUGGUGACCCUUUUGAUCCAAAUGUUCGACAGGGACCCCAAGCUAGUAAAAACCAGUAUGAGAAGAUACUUUCAUAUAUAGAGCAUGGGAAGAGGGAGGGUGCUACAUUGCUAACUGGUGGUAAGCCACUGGACAGAAAAGGCUAUUUCAUCCAGCCAACUAUAUUUACAGAUGUCUGGAUGACAUGCUAAUUGCAAAAGAUGAAAUUUUUGGACCUGUUAUGCUUAUACUGAAAUUCAAGACAGUGGAGGCGGUGAUAAAGAGGGCUAAUGACACAAAGUAUGCCAAUAACAACAAUAUAUAU